This 454-nucleotide long non-coding RNA is filed under the name Brassica napus (rape). RNAcentral's name for it is "long non-coding RNA (BNAP_LNC007996)". The record is from RNAcentral. Lineage: Eukaryota; Viridiplantae; Streptophyta; Magnoliopsida; Brassicales; Brassicaceae.
GAAUAUGAGAUAGUCUCACAUCUUCGAAGUCAUCCUGUAACAUCUGGAACACCUCGAUCUCUGUCGCGAAUGUUGGCCAGUCCAUCGGGUUUGUAGUCAUAUCCACUAAGUCCAAGCAGUCCGUCUCAAACCGUACCGAAGUGAUCCUUCUGUCUCUCAUAUAUGAGGCUGCCUAAAGUAACCCUUCCAUCUCAGCAUGCAAAGCUGUAUGUGCUUAUCACUGGUGGUUCUUUUGACUUCUAGUUUCCUUUUUGUCAACCCAUCAAGUUUAAGGAACACAAGGCUACAAAAAACUUUAAAAUGCUAAAACCAGUGGUCCAAUGAAAAGUUAUUAUCUUAUAACAUUUGGAAAGCGUGGUAGUUUUGAAAGAACUACUUUGGUUUCAGCUGAGCCCAAAAUCUUAUUUUGGAAGAAGAUUUGAUAAGGAGCUCACAAUAGGAUGGUAGCCACUCA